GAUGAACGCUGGCGGCGUGCCUAAUACAUGCAAGUCGAGCGAACGGACGAGAAGCUUGCUUCUCUGAUGUUAGCGGCGGACGGGUGAGUAACACGUGGAUAACCUACCUAUAAGACUGGGAUAACUUCGGGAAACCGGAGCUAAUACCGGAUGAUAUUUUGAACCGCAUGGUUCAAAAGUGAAAGACGGUCUUGCUGUCACUUAUAGAUGGAUCCGCGCUGCAUUAGCUAGUUGGUAAGGUAACGGCUUACCAAGGCAACGAUGCAUAGCCGACCUGAGAGGGUGAACGGCCACACUGGAACUGAGACACGGUCCAGACUCCUACGGGAGGCAGCAGUAGGGAAUCUUACGCAAUGGGCGAAAGCCUGACGGAGCAACGCCGCGUGAGUGAUGAAGGUCUUCGGAUCGUAAAACUCUGUUAUUAGGGAAGAACAUAUGUGUAAGUAACUGUGCACAUCUUGACGGUACCUAAUCAGAAAGCCACGGCUAACUACGUG
Molecule: ribosomal RNA, 497 nt
Filed under: uncultured bacterium
Lineage: Bacteria
Description: partial 16S ribosomal RNA
Rfam family: Bacterial small subunit ribosomal RNA
Source: RNAcentral